Molecule: transfer RNA, 72 nt
Filed under: Diaphorina citri (Asian citrus psyllid)
Lineage: Eukaryota; Metazoa; Arthropoda; Insecta; Hemiptera; Psyllidae
Rfam family: tRNA
About the family: Transfer RNA (tRNA) molecules are approximately 80 nucleotides in length. Their secondary structure includes four short double-helical elements and three loops (D, anti-codon, and T loops). Further hydrogen bonds mediate the characteristic L-shaped molecular structure. tRNAs have two regions of fundamental functional importance: the anti-codon, which is responsible for specific mRNA codon recognition, and the 3' end, to which the tRNAs corresponding amino acid is attached (by aminoacyl-tRNA synthetases). tRNAs cope with the degeneracy of the genetic code in two manners: having more than one tRNA (with a specific anti-codon) for a particular amino acid; and 'wobble' base-pairing, i.e. permitting non-standard base-pairing at the 3rd anti-codon position.
Source: Rfam by way of RNAcentral
ACUCCCAUGGCGUAGUGGUCACUGCACUCGCCUUGCACGCGGGAGACCCGGGUUCGAUUCCUGGCGGGGUCA